This 422-nucleotide ribosomal RNA is filed under the name uncultured bacterium. RNAcentral's name for it is "bacterial SSU rRNA". It matches the Rfam family "Bacterial small subunit ribosomal RNA", at positions 355 to 774 of the family's 1533-position model. The record is from RNAcentral.
UAAGGAAUAUUGGUCAAUGGACGCAAGUCUGAACCAGCCAUGCCGCGUGGAGGAUGAAGGUCCUCUGGAUUGUAAACUUCUUUUAUCUGGGACGAAACACUUCUUUUCUAAGAGGCCUGACGGUACCAGAUGAAUAAGCACCGGCUAACUCCGUGCCAGCAGCCGCGGUAAUACGGAGGGUGCAAGCGUUAUCCGGAUUCACUGGGUUUAAAGGGUGCGUAGGUGGGUAUGUAAGUCAGUGGUGAAAUCCCCGAGCUUAACUUGGGAACUGCCAUUGAUACUAUAUAUCUUGAAUACCAUAGAGGUAAGCGGAAUAUGUCAUGUAGCGGUGAAAUGCUUAGAUAUGACAUGGAACACCAAUUGCGAAGGCAGCUUACUAUGCGGUGAUUGACACUGAGGCACGAAAGCGUGGGUAGCAAACA